CUACGGGGUGCUCCAGUGGGGAAUAUUGCACAAUGGAGGGAACCCUGAUGCAGCAACGCCGCGUGGAGGAUGACGCAUUUCGGUGUGUAAACUCCUUUUAUAUGUCAAGAAAAUGACGGUAGCAUAUGAAUAAGCACCGGCUAACUCCGUGCCAGCAGCCGCGGUAAUACGGAGGGUGCAAGCGUUACUCGGAAUCACUGGGCGUAAAGGACGCGUAGGCGGGUUGGAAAGUCAGGUGUGAAAUCCUACAGCUUAACUGUAGAACUGCACUUGAAACUUCUAAUCUAGAGUAUGGGAGGGGGAGAUGGAAUUAGUGGUGUAGGGGUAAAAUCCGUAGAUAUCACUAGGAAUACCUAAAGCGAAGGCGAUCUCCUGGAACAUUACUGACGCUAAGGCGUGAAAGCGUGGGGAGCAAACAGGAUUAGAUACCCUAGUAGUC
RNAcentral lists this ribosomal RNA (439 nucleotides) under uncultured bacterium. Its description in RNAcentral is "partial 16S ribosomal RNA". It matches the Rfam family "Bacterial small subunit ribosomal RNA", at positions 339 to 795 of the family's 1533-position model. The record is from RNAcentral.